UUUCCGUAGGUGAACCUGCCGAAGGAUCAUUACAGCGUUCUUGGCCGAAAGGUUUUACCUCCCACCCUCGUGUAUUAUUACUUUGUUGCUUUGGCGAGCGCAAGCACGCCAGAGCAGAUAAAAACUUUUCAUAAUACUGUCGAAUGAGUAGUAUGUAAUAGUUAAAAGUAUCAACAACGGAUCUCUUGGCCCUGGCAGCGAUGAAGAACGCAACAGAACGGCAGAGGACACAACUGAGCUCCAGCCAUGCAUAGUCAUUACCUGAGCUGACGUAUGCUU
Molecule: unclassified non-coding RNA, 279 nt
Filed under: plant metagenome
Description: partial contains small subunit ribosomal RNA, internal transcribed spacer 1, and 5.8S ribosomal RNA
Source: RNAcentral